Molecule: ribosomal RNA, 480 nt
Filed under: uncultured bacterium
Lineage: Bacteria
Description: partial 16S ribosomal RNA
Rfam family: Bacterial small subunit ribosomal RNA
Source: RNAcentral
GACGAACGCUGGCGGCGUGCUUAACACAUGCAAGUCGAGCGAUGAAGCACCUUCGGGUGUGGAUUAGCGGCGAACGGGUGAGGAACACGUGAGGAAUCUGCCUUUCACUUCGGGAUAACUCCGGGAAACCGGGGCUAAUACCGGAUAUUUUCAACUGGCGGCAUCGCCGGUUGAAGAAAGUUUUUCGGUGAAAGAUGACCUCGCGGCCUAUCAGCUUGUUGGUGAGGUAAUGGCUCACCAAGGCGACGACGGGUAGCCGGCCUGAGAGGGCGACCGGCCACACUGGGACUGAGGCACGGCCCAGACUCCUACGGGAGGCAGCAGUGGGGAAUAUUGGGCAAUGGAGGAAACUCUGACCCAGCGACGCCGCGUGAGUGAUGAAGGCCUUCGGGUUGUAAACCUCUUUCAGCAGGGAAUAAGCGAAAGUGAAGGUACCUGCAGAAGAAGCACCGGCUAACUAUGUGCCAGCAGCCGCCGUAA